This 544-nucleotide long non-coding RNA is filed under the name Citrus sinensis (sweet orange). RNAcentral describes it as "long non-coding RNA (CSIN_LNC000421)". The record is from RNAcentral. Lineage: Eukaryota; Viridiplantae; Streptophyta; Magnoliopsida; Sapindales; Rutaceae.
UCAACCCUACCCACUUGUAACGUCCUUCCAUUGGCUCCUCUUUCACGAAGUCGAAGUUAUACCUGUAAUUGAAUUUUUAAGAGUGUUGCUAGCAUGCAUCUUCAGGUUUGGUUGCAAAGAGAGUGCAAAUUCGAAUUUUUAUUGGCCAAAAAAAAAAAAUAAAGAAAAAAAAUCCAAGAUAUUGUAUAGAAUAGAAAUGCAAGAGUUAAAUUCUUGGUAAACAUAAAGAAAAAAAAUCCAAGAUAUUGUAUAUUCGAAUUUUUAUUGGCCAAAAAAAAAAAAUAAAGAAAAAAAAUCCAAGAUAUUGUAUAGAAUAGAAAUGCAAGAGUUAAAUUCUUGGUAAACAAACAAAGAGACCGAGUGAAAAUUAUGUUCACUUUGAUGCGUUAGUUAACAAUGUGCAUGGCAAAAGAGGCAUUAUUGUUUUGCGUACUUACUUCUGAGAAAAUUGUUUUACGAGCUUUUUCUCAGCUUCAGCGAAGAAGUCCUCAAUUUCAGACUUGGCAGGCAUGUUCUCCACCGUUGAUCUACGGCGAGAGUUUGC